Molecule: microRNA, 22 nt
Filed under: Branchiostoma floridae (Florida lancelet)
Lineage: Eukaryota; Metazoa; Chordata; Leptocardii; Amphioxiformes; Branchiostomatidae
Description: bfl-miR-2068-3p
Source: miRBase by way of RNAcentral
GGACAUGUGUGCAUAGGGAAGA